This is a long non-coding RNA of Polistes canadensis, 1339 nucleotides long. RefSeq lists it as uncharacterized. The record is from RefSeq and is a predicted model, not a curated record. NCBI's taxonomy places the organism in Eukaryota, Metazoa, Arthropoda, Insecta, Hymenoptera, Vespidae. The transcript has 2 exons.
GCAUAAGAAUAUUAUUGGUGUUCACUCUAUAUUUGAUAUUUUUACUUCAGCUUAAUACUUGCUGAUUUAUCGUUACAUUGAAGUUAUUCAUCUGUUUUUUAAAUAAAUAUUUAUUUAUUACAUAAAAAUAAACUAUCGGUUAUUAUAAAGAAAAAAGAAGUUAAUAAAAUGGUAUGUGUACCAUGCGUUGCUGUUCCUAUAUUAUUAAUUAUAUGGAGAUUUUUAAUUCAACCGAUUAUUUUAAAAUGGUGGCAAUUAAAAAACAAAAUCAAAUGUACUAAUGAAAAAGAACCAACAUCAGAUUUAGUUAAAGAUUGUAAAAAUGGAGUAUGUACAUUAGCAUGGAAGAAAAAGGACGAAGACAUAGGAAAAGUCGAUUAAAAUUUCCUUGAAAAAAAUUAGCAAAUCAUUCCAAAGACUGCUACUAUGCAGAUACAAUAGUCUGUACAAACCUUUUUCUAUUUAUUUUUCACAUUUUAAAGUUCACCUUUAACACAAUGAAUAUGAAAGAUAAAUUAUAUUAAAAAAAUAUUUAAUUGAAGUUUUAAUUUUAUUACAUGAUAUUUCGAUGAAUACAAUUAAUUAAUACAUUUAAUGUGUACAUUACUUUUAUGAUACAUAUGACUUAAAAGUUGAUUUUACGAAUUUUAUUAUAAAAGUUUAAAUAAACAUAUGCGAACUAGAAUAUUUGCAAAAUUUACUUGAAAACGUCAAUUACUUUCGUAUAAUAUUUAACAGUAAUCUGUAAGAUGUUACAAUUAAUUAUAGUGAGAUAUAGAAUGUAUUAUACUUGUAUACAAUGUACUUUGACUCUGCUGUAUCAUAUGUUAUCUGUAUAAAUCAUAUUAAAUGCAAUGCAUUAAUGUAACUUCUUAUCAAAAACAUUAACACUUUGUUUUAUCGUAUAUCUAACAAUUCAAACUGCUUUAACCUAUUUAGGCGUUCCUUCAUAAAUUUCAUAAGUUUUUAUUUGAGCAUAAAUUACUUACCAUUAACAUAUAAGGAUGUCACAAAAAAAACAUAAAAUUAUCUGAACAAUACUGUAACAAAAAUGCAUAUAUUGUCGUAGUAUGAGAAUAAAAAUUAUAUUUAAUAUAAAACAUUUAAUAAUAUAUUAGCAUAAAAAUAUUAAAACAUCCUUUUAUGGUAAUAGACAAAUAAUAAAACCUUUUAAAAUUAAUUAUGAGAAGUAUGUAAAUAUUUAUCAGAUUAUGACAUGUUAAUGGAUACUUUUGAGUUCAAUGUCGAAAACAAGUGUACUGUUACCAGGAAUAGUAGGUGGGAAACCUUUAGCACCAUACCUAAAAAAAUAAUUAACUUAUAGAAUAAACAUACUAAA